UGGUCACUUGGUCAUGUGGGCGUUGCCUUUGUGUACACCUUGCGUACACUCAAUGUCCGUGCAGAUUUGCCAUCUUCUGUAAAGCGUAAAUAAUGCAGUUGGCUCGUUACAAUCCUAAGGAAUCAACAAGAAGACACAUAAGUUGGAAAAUUUAUAAAAUCAAAUUUUCAAGGGACAGAAAACAUAGAACGCCUCACAAAAAUGAUGAAUGACGUGUUUGACAUACUAAAUCUGCGCUUUUGUAAAGAGGGAAUUGUCCAUGCGACUUGGAAAAAUAAAAAAGGCAAAUUGAAUCAAAUGCUGCAAGCCCUCUCAGAAACUGAGCGUGUUUUUGAAGAACAUGGAAAGAAUGUUAAAAUGUUCGUUUCCGAGACUAGUCUUCAAGCCUGGCGUCUAACUAUAAAUAGUGCAAUAAAUCUGAUCGAGGAGCAAUUCAAAGCAGGAAUUAAAGUUGUACUAACAGGAAAAUUUAAUCAAGAUCCUCUAGAGAGGCUGUUUGGAAUCGUUCGUUCGGUAGAUAGCCACCCAACGGUGACAUCUUUUU
Daphnia magna is the source of this 544-nucleotide long non-coding RNA. RefSeq lists it as uncharacterized. Lineage: Eukaryota; Metazoa; Arthropoda; Branchiopoda; Diplostraca; Daphniidae. The transcript is spliced from 3 exons. The record is from RefSeq and is a predicted model, not a curated record.